UCUCUGGUAGUAUAUCGGAUAGUACACCCGCCUGUCAUGUUGAAGCACGGCCGCGGGAAAGCGGGGUUCGAUUCCCCGCCAGAGAG
Non-coding RNA from Suillus ampliporus, 86 nucleotides. The record is from the annotation of a GenBank genome assembly. NCBI's taxonomy places the organism in Eukaryota, Fungi, Basidiomycota, Agaricomycetes, Boletales, Suillaceae.